This 467-nucleotide ribosomal RNA is filed under the name uncultured bacterium. RNAcentral describes it as "partial 16S ribosomal RNA". It matches the Rfam family "Bacterial small subunit ribosomal RNA", at positions 28 to 506 of the family's 1533-position model. The record is from RNAcentral.
GACGAACGCUGGCGGCGUGCUUAACACAUGCAAGUCGAACGGAAAGGCCCUGCUUUUGUGGGGUGCUCGAGUGGCGAACGGGUGAGUAACACGUGAGUAACCUGCCCUUGACUUUGGGAUAACUUCAGGAAACUGGGGCUAAUACCGGAUAGGAGCUCCUGCUGCAUGGUGGGGGUUGGAAAGUUUCGGCGGUUGGGGAUGGACUCGCGGCUUACCAGCUUGUUGGUGGGGUAGUGGCUUACCAAGGCUUUGACGGGUAGCCGGCCUGAGAGGGUGACCGGCAGAAGUGGGAAUGAGAUAGGGCCCAGACUCCGACGGGAGGAAGGAGGGGGGAAUAGUGCAGAAGGGGGGGAAGUCGGAUGCAGCAACGCCGGGGGGGGGAUGAGGGCCUUCGGGGUGGAAAACGGUUUCGCCGGGGAAGAAGGGGGAGGGAGGGUAAGGGGUAAAGAAACAACGGCUAAAUACGU